AUCCAGAUGAAGUGUCCCAACUAGUAUGAAACGCUCGUCCUGGAU
This 45-nucleotide non-coding RNA is filed under the name Schistosoma mansoni. Lineage: Eukaryota; Metazoa; Platyhelminthes; Trematoda; Strigeidida; Schistosomatidae. The record is from RNAcentral.